RNAcentral lists this unclassified non-coding RNA (279 nucleotides) under plant metagenome. Its description in RNAcentral is "partial contains small subunit ribosomal RNA, internal transcribed spacer 1, and 5.8S ribosomal RNA". The record is from RNAcentral.
UUUCCGUAGGUGAACCUGCGGAAGGAUCAUUAUUGUAUAACCGAGGUGCGAGGGCUGUCGCUGACCCGAAAGGUCGUGCACGCCCGAGUGCCCUCACACACAUCCAUCUCACCCCUAUGUGCACCACCGCGUGGGUCCCCCUUUGGCUUGUUCGGAGGGGGGCUUACGUUUUCACACAAACUUUGUAUGCAGUGUAGAAUGUAUUUUUUGUUUUUCGGUUCCCCCAUCCAAACAACUUUCAACAACGGAUCUCUUUGCCCUCGCAUCCAUGAAGAACGC